This 553-nucleotide ribosomal RNA is filed under the name uncultured fungus. RNAcentral describes it as "eukaryotic LSU rRNA". The stretch from base 191 to 344 matches the Rfam family "5.8S ribosomal RNA". The record is from RNAcentral. Lineage: Eukaryota; Fungi.
AAGUCGUAACACAGGUCUCCGUUGGUGAACCAGCGGAGGGAUCAUUACUGAGUAUACUACAACUCUCUACCCUUUGUGAACUAUUAUACCUGUUGCUUCGGCGGCGCCCGCAAGGGUGCCCGCCGGUCUCAUCCAGAAUCUCUGUUUUCGAACCCGACGAUACUUCUGAGUGUUCUUAGCGAACUGUCAAAACUUUUAACAACGGAUCUCUUGGCUCCAACGCAUCGAUGAAGAACGCAGCGAAACGCGAUAUGUAAUGUGAAUUGCAGAUUCAGUGAAUCAUCGAAUCUUUGAACGCACAUGGCGCCCUUCCAGUAUCCUGGAGGCUGCCUGUCCGAGCGUCGUUUCAACCCUCGAGCCCCUGUGGCCGGCGUUGGGGAUCUGCCACGGCAGGCCCCUAAAACCAGUGGCGGACCCGAAGGCCCUCUCCUUUGCGCAGUAGCAUUCGCCUCGCAUCGGGUAGUCCUCGGCGUCCUGCCUCUAAACCCCCCACAAGCCGCUUCGGCGGCACCAAGGUUGACCUCGGAUCAGGUAGGAUACCCGCUGAACUUAA